This 332-nucleotide ribosomal RNA is filed under the name uncultured Chloroflexota bacterium. RNAcentral describes it as "bacterial SSU rRNA". It matches the Rfam family "Bacterial small subunit ribosomal RNA", at positions 568 to 898 of the family's 1533-position model. The record is from RNAcentral. Lineage: Bacteria; Bacillati; Chloroflexota.
CUCGCAGGUGGUUCGUUGCGUCGUGCGUGAAAGACCCCGGCUCAACUGGGGAGGGUCGUGCGAUACGGGCGAACUGGAGGCCAGUAGGGGGAUGCGGAAUUCCGGGUGUAGUGGUGGAAUGCGUAGAGAUCCGGAGGAACACCAGCGGCGAAGGCGGCAUCCUGGACUGGUCCUGACACUCAGGAGCGAAAGCGUGGGGAGCGAUCCGGAUUAGAUACCCGGGUAGUCCACGCUGUAAACGAUGAGUACUAGGUGUCGGGGGUAUCGACCCCCUCGGUGCCGCAGCUAACGCGAUAAGUACUCCGCCUGGGGACUACGGCCGCAAGGCUAAA